GUCGAGAAUUUUUCUCAAUGGGGGAAACCCUGAAGGAGCGACGCCGCGUGGGGGAUGAAUGGCUUCGGCCCGUAAACCCCUGUCAUUUGCGAUCAAACCUCACGACUUAACACGUCGUGAGCUGAUAGUAGCGGAAGAGGAAGGGACGGCUAACUCUGUGCCAGCAGCCGCGGUAAUACAGAGGUCCCAAGCGUUGUUCGGAUUCACUGGGCGUAAAGGGUGCGUAGGCGGUCGGGUAAGUCUGACGUGAAAUCUUCAAGCUCAACUUGGAAACUGCGUCGGAUACUAUUCGGCUAGAGGAAUGGAGGGGAGACUGGAAUACUUGGUGUAGCAGUGAAAUGCGUAGAUAUCAAGUGGAACACCAGUGGCGAAGGCGAGUCUCUGGACAUUUCCUGACGCUGAGGCACGAAAGCCAGGGGAGCAAACGGGAUUAGAAACCCCAGUAGUCC
Molecule: ribosomal RNA, 449 nt
Filed under: uncultured bacterium
Lineage: Bacteria
Description: bacterial SSU rRNA
Rfam family: Bacterial small subunit ribosomal RNA
Source: RNAcentral